GGGUUGGGAUUAGGGUUAUAGUAACAUUUAGUAUUCAUAGGUUGUGGGUCAUACUGGAUUCCUAUACUAUUUCAGCGAUGUGAAAUAGAACAUUCGGAGAUUUUCAAAAUAUGUAUUUGUGCAUUUCUAAUUGUUUGAACCACAUUAUCUAUGGUUUCAUAUAGCAUAGAUUCAUGUCAUUCCUUAUAUAAGAUGACACCAACAAUUUUAGUCAUCUAUUUUAUUUUCUAUAGUGCAUAUGUAUGUGAUAAAUAAGUGUAUAAUUUGGAUAGAUCAGUAAAUAUGGGGCUUCACUCCUAUC
Molecule: long non-coding RNA, 301 nt
Filed under: Brassica napus (rape)
Lineage: Eukaryota; Viridiplantae; Streptophyta; Magnoliopsida; Brassicales; Brassicaceae
Description: long non-coding RNA (BNAP_LNC012988)
Source: RNAcentral